GGGCCCGCACAAGCGGUGGAGCAUGUGGUUUAAUUCGAUGCAACGCGAAGAACCUUACCAGGACUUGACAUACUACGAAUUCUUCUGAGAAGAAGAAGUGCCUUCGGGAACGUAGAUACAGGUGGUGCAUGGCUGUCGUCAGCUCGUGUCGUGAGAUGUUGGGUUAAGUCCCGCAACGAGCGCAACCCUUAUUUUUAGUUACUAACUCGUUAGGUUCUCUAGAAAGACUGCCGGUGACAAACCGGAGGAAGGUGAGGAUGACGUCAAGUCAGCAUGCCCCUUAUGUCCUGGGCUACACACGUGCUACAAUGGUUAAGACAAAGAGUCGCGAGCUCGCGAGAGUCAGCUAAUCUCAUAAACUUAGCCUAAGUUCAGAUUGUAGGCUGCAACUCGCCUGCAUGAAGUUGGAAUCGCUAGUAAUCG
Molecule: ribosomal RNA, 423 nt
Filed under: uncultured bacterium
Lineage: Bacteria
Description: bacterial SSU rRNA
Rfam family: Bacterial small subunit ribosomal RNA
Source: RNAcentral